RNAcentral lists this ribosomal RNA (497 nucleotides) under uncultured bacterium. RNAcentral's name for it is "partial 16S ribosomal RNA". It matches the Rfam family "Bacterial small subunit ribosomal RNA", at positions 28 to 507 of the family's 1533-position model. The record is from RNAcentral.
GAUGAACGCUGGCGGCGUGCCUAAUACAUGCAAGUCGAGCGAACAGACGAGGAGCUUGCUCCUCUGAUGUUAGCGGCGGACGGGUGAGUAACACGUGGAUAACCUACCUAUAAGACUGGGAUAACUUCGGGAAACCGGAGCUAAUACCGGAUAACAUGUUGAACCGCAUGGUUCAACAGUGAAAGACGGUCUUACUGUCACUUAUAGAUGGAUCCGCGCCGCAUUAGCUAGUUGGUAAGGUAACGGCUUACCAAGGCAACGAUGCGUAGCCGACCUGAGAGGGUGAUCGGCCACACUGGAACUGAGACACGGUCCAGACUCCUACGGGAGGCAGCAGUAGGGAAUCUUCCGCAAUGGGCGAAAGCCUGACGGAGCAACGCCGCGUGAGUGAAGAAGGUCUUCGGAUCGUAAAACUCUGUUAUUAGGGAAGAACAAAUGUGUAAGUAACUAUGCACGUCUUGACGGUACCUAAUCAGAAAGCCACGGCUAACUACGUG